UGGGGAAUUUUGGACAAUGGACGCAAGUCUGAUCCAGCCAUGCCGCGUGCGGGAAGAAGGCCUUCGGGUUGUAAACCGCUUUUGUCAGGGAAGAAACGAGUUUCUCUAAUACAGAGACUUAAUGACGGUACCUGAAGAAUAAGCACCGGCUAACUACGUGCCAGCAGCCGCGGUAAUACGUAGGGUGCAAGCGUUAAUCGGAAUUACUGGGCGUAAAGCGUGCGCAGGCGGUUAUGCAAGACAGAUGUGAAAUCCCCGGGCUCAACCUGGGAACUGCAUUUGUGACUGUAUAGCUAGAGUACGGCAGAGGGGGAUGGAAUUCCGCGUGUAGCAGUGAAAUGCGUAGAUAUGCGGAGAAACACCGAUGGCGAAGGCAAUCCCCUGGGCCUGUACUGACGCUCAUGCACGAAAGCGUGGGGAGCAAACA
Molecule: ribosomal RNA, 427 nt
Filed under: uncultured bacterium
Lineage: Bacteria
Description: bacterial SSU rRNA
Rfam family: Bacterial small subunit ribosomal RNA
Source: RNAcentral